UUUCAUAAAAGCGCCAGAACUUAAGUGAAUAUCAAGUUUUUAAUUUGGAUAUCUAAACUUACUAAUCCUGUAAGUGAAUUGGUUAAGCCUUAAUUGGAUAAACUAAAAAUGAAACUCCUACUAGACGUAGGAGUAAGUUCGACCAACCAAAUCGAAGAUUUGGGGUCUCACUUAAGUUGACGAGGAUGGGGAGAAUCGAGUUCUUCGGCGGGUGCCCCACGGUAUCGCACUACCGUUAACGACUAGUAAAACUAUAAAGUGAUUUAUAGGACAA
RNAcentral lists this non-coding RNA (274 nucleotides) under uncultured Clostridium sp. Its description in RNAcentral is "glmS glucosamine-6-phosphate activated ribozyme". It matches the Rfam family "glmS glucosamine-6-phosphate activated ribozyme aptamer", at positions 3 to 147 of the family's 167-position model. Rfam says of the family: This entry contains a glucosamine-6-phosphate activated ribozyme that is found in the mRNA for GlmS. GlmS is an enzyme that uses fructose-6-phosphate and glutamine to generate glucosamine-6-phosphate. The record is from RNAcentral. Lineage: Bacteria; Bacillati; Bacillota; Clostridia; Eubacteriales; Clostridiaceae.